This 442-nucleotide ribosomal RNA is filed under the name uncultured bacterium. RNAcentral's name for it is "partial 16S ribosomal RNA". It matches the Rfam family "Bacterial small subunit ribosomal RNA", at positions 338 to 795 of the family's 1533-position model. The record is from RNAcentral.
CCUACGGGUGGCAGCAGUGGGGGAUAUUGCACAAUGGGGGAAACCCUGAUGCAGCGACGCCGCGUGGGCGAAGAAGUAUUUCGGUAUGUAAAGCCCUAUCAGCAGGGAAGAAGAAAUUACGGUACCUGAGUAAGAAGCACCGGCUAAAUACGUGCCAGCAGCCGCGGUCAUACGUAGGGUGCAAGCGGUAUCCGGAUUUACUGGGUGUAAAGGGAGGGCAGGCGGCAGGGCAAGCCUGAUGUGAAAGCCCGCGGCCCAACCGCGGGACUGCAUUGGGACCUACCAGGCUGGAAUGCGGAUGCCGUGGGAGGAAUGUGUGGUGUAGCGGUGAAAUGCAUAGAUAUCACACAGAACACCGAUUGCGAAGGCAUCUCACGAGUCCGCGAUUGACGCUGAUGCACGAAAGCGUGGGUAUCAAACAGGAUUAGAUACCCGGGUAGUC